GAUGAAGAACGCAGCAAAAUGCGAUAAGUAAUGUGAAUUGCAGAAUUCAGUGAAUCAUCGAAUCUUUGAACGCACAUUGCGCCCACUGGUAUUCCGGCGGGCAUGCCUGUUCGAGCGUCAUUUCAACCCUCAAACCCCCGGGUUUGGUGUUGGGGAUCGGCUCUGCCUCACGGCGGUGCCGCCCCCGAAAUACAUUGGCGGUCUCGCUGCAGCCUCCAUUGCGUAGUAGCUAACACCUCGCAACUGGAACGCGGCGCGGCCAUGCCGUAAAACCCCAACUUCUGAAUGUUGACCUCGGAUCAGGUAGGAAUACCCGCUGAACUUAAGCAUAUCAAUAAGCGGAGGA
RNAcentral lists this unclassified non-coding RNA (346 nucleotides) under soil metagenome. RNAcentral describes it as "partial contains 5.8S ribosomal RNA, internal transcribed spacer 2, and large subunit ribosomal RNA". The stretch from base 1 to 120 matches the Rfam family "5.8S ribosomal RNA", at positions 35 to 154 of the family's 154-position model. The record is from RNAcentral.